Molecule: ribosomal RNA, 2895 nt
Filed under: Xanthomonas vasicola
Lineage: Bacteria; Pseudomonadati; Pseudomonadota; Gammaproteobacteria; Lysobacterales; Lysobacteraceae
Description: 23S ribosomal RNA
Rfam family: Bacterial large subunit ribosomal RNA
Source: RNAcentral
GUUAUAUGGUCAAGCGAAUAAGCGCACACGGUGGAUGCCUAGGCGGUCAGAGGCGAUGAAGGACGUGGUAGCCUGCGAAAAGUGUCGGAGAGCUGGCAACAAGCUUUGAUCCGGCAAUAUCCGAAUGGGGAAACCCACUGCUUCGGCAGUAUCCUGCAGUGAAUUCAUAGCUGCUGGAAGCGAACCCGGUGAACUGAAAUAUCUAAGUAACCGGAGGAAAAGAAAUCAACCGAGAUUCCCUAAGUAGUGACGAGCGAACGGGGAGCAGCCCUUAAGCUGGAAUGGCUUUAGAAAAACAAUCUGGAAAGAUUGGCCAUAGAAGGUGAUAGCCCUGUAUUUAAAAGGGCCACUCCAGUGAAGACGAGUAGGGCGGGGCACGUGAAACCCUGUCUGAAUAUGGGGGGACCAUCCUCCAAGGCUAAAUACUCCUGACCGACCGAUAGUGAACCAGUACCGUGAGGGAAAGGCGAAAAGAACCCCGGAGAGGGGAGUGAAAUAGAUCCUGAAACCGUGUGCGUACAAGCAGUAGGAGCUCGCAAGAGUGACUGCGUACCUUUUGUAUAAUGGGUCAGCGACUUACUGUUCGUGGCAAGCUUAACCGUAUAGGGGAGGCGAAGGGAAACCGAGUCUGAUAAGGGCGCAUAGUCGCGGGCAGUAGACCCGAAACCGGGUGAUCUAGUCAUGGCCAGGGUGAAGGUGCCGUAACAGGUACUGGAGGCCCGAACCCACGUCUGUUGCAAAAGACGGGGAUGAGCUGUGAUUAGGAGUGAAAAGCUAAUCGAACCCGGAGAUAGCUGGUUCUCCUCGAAAGCUAUUUAGGUAGCGCCUCGGACGAAUACUACUGGGGGUAGAGCACUGUUAUGGCUAGGGGGUCAUCGCGACUUACCAAACCAUUGCAAACUCCGAAUACCAGUACGUACUAUCCGGGAGACACACGGCGGGUGCUAACGUCCGUCGUGAAAAGGGAAACAACCCAGACCCACAGCUAAGGUCCCAAAUUCACUGCUAAGUGGAAAACGAUGUGGAAAGGCAUAGACAGCCAGGAGGUUGGCUUAGAAGCAGCCACCCUUUAAAGAAAGCGUAAUAGCUCACUGGUCGAGUCGGUCUGCGCGGAAGAUUUAACGGGGCUAAGCAGUGAACCGAAGCUUGGGGUGCAUAAAACUUGUUUUAUGCGCGGUAGAGGAGCGUUCCGUAAGCCUGCGAAGGUGGAUUGAGAAGUCUGCUGGAGGUAUCGGAAGUGCGAAUGCUGACAUGAGUAACGAUAAUGCGGGUGAAAAGCCCGCACGCCGAAAGCCCAAGGUUUCCUUGCGCAACGUUAAUCGACGCAGGGUUAGUCGGUCCCUAAGGCGAGGGCGAAAGCCGUAGUCGAUGGGAAGCAGGUUAAUAUUCCUGCACCUCGCGUGAGUGCGAUGGAGGGACGGAGAAGGUUAGGUGUACCGGGCGCUGGUUGUCCCGGGGAAAGGCGGUAGGUUUGGAUCUUUGGCAAAUCCGGGAUCCUUUAAGACCGAGCACCGAGACGAGCCUUUAUGGCGAAGUCACUGAUACCACGCUUCCAGGAAAAGCUCCUAAGCUUCAGCUCACGAAGACCGUACCGUAAACCGACACAGGUGGGUAGGAUGAGAAUUCUCAGGCGCUUGAGAGAACUCGGGUGAAGGAACUAGGCAACAUGGCACCGUAACUUCGGGAGAAGGUGCACCCUUUUUGGUGGCUCAUGCGAGCUAUAGCUGAAGAGGGUCGCAGAAACCAGGCCGCUGCGACUGUUUAUCAAAAACACAGCACUCUGCAAACACGAAAGUGGACGUAUAGGGUGUGACGCCUGCCCGGUGCUGGAAGGUUAAUUGAUGGGGUCAGCCGCAAGGCGAAGCUCUUGAUCGAAGCCCCAGUAAACGGCGGCCGUAACUAUAACGGUCCUAAGGUAGCGAAAUUCCUUGUCGGGUAAGUUCCGACCUGCACGAAUGGCGUAACGACAGCGGCGCUGUCUCCACCCGAGACUCAGUGAAAUUGAAAUCGCUGUGAAGAUGCAGCGUUCCCGUGGCAAGACGGAAAGACCCCGUGAACCUUUACUAUAGCUUUACACUGAACGUUGAGUUCGUCUGUGUAGGAUAGGUGGGAGGCUAUGAAACUGUGGCGCUAGCUGCAGUGGAGCCAUCCUUGAAAUACCACCCUGUCGUGCUUGACGUUCUAACCUAGGUCCGUUAUCCGGAUCAGGGACCGUGUAUGGUGGGUAGUUUGACUGGGGCGGUCUCCUCCUAAAGAGUAACGGAGGAGCACGAAGGUACGCUCAGCGCGGUCGGACAUCGCGCACUGUGUGCAAAGGCAUAAGCGUGCUUGACUGCAAGAUCGACGGAUCAAGCAGGUACGAAAGUAGGUCUUAGUGAUCCGGUGGUUCUGUAUGGAAGGGCCAUCGCUCAACGGAUAAAAGGUACUCCGGGGAUAACAGGCUGAUACCGCCCAAGAGUUCAUAUCGACGGCGGUGUUUGGCACCUCGAUGUCGGCUCAUCACAUCCUGGGGCUGUAGUCGGUCCCAAGGGUAUGGCUGUUCGCCAUUUAAAGUGGUACGCGAGCUGGGUUCAGAACGUCGUGAGACAGUUCGGUCCCUAUCUGCCAUGGGCGUUGGAAGUUUGAGAGGGGCUGCUCCUAGUACGAGAGGACCGGAGUGGACGAACCUCUGGUGUUCCGGUUGUCACGCCAGUGGCAUUGCCGGGUAGCUAUGUUCGGAAGCGAUAACCGCUGAAAGCAUCUAAGCGGGAAGCGCGCCUCAAGAUGAGACUUCCCGGGGCACAAGCCCCCUAAAGGAACCAUGUAGACUACGUGGUUGAUAGGUCAGGUGUGUAAGUACAGCAAUGUAUUGAGCUAACUGAUACUAAUGAUCCGUGCGGCUUGACCAUAUAACCU